This 384-nucleotide ribosomal RNA is filed under the name Triticum aestivum (bread wheat). RNAcentral describes it as "partial small subunit ribosomal RNA". Lineage: Eukaryota; Viridiplantae; Streptophyta; Magnoliopsida; Poales; Poaceae. The record is from RNAcentral.
CUUACAAGGAAAAAUUUCCAUAUUGAAUCUGCCAGAUGUGUGCUUUGUGAUGAUGAACCUAAGGAAUACCUUUAUCAUCCGUUCUUUAGUUGUGAUUUCAGCCAGAACUUCUGGAUGGCCAUUGGUUUUCAAUGGAAUACUGACUAUGAGCUUUUGGAUUUACUCAUGGAGGGCAAGAAACACAACCAUGUUGUAUGCUACAAGGAGUGCCUCAUUAUAGGAUGUUGGAGUAUUUGGAAGCAUAUGAACAACAUCAUCUUUGAUCAAAAACCCAAGAAUAUGCAGUACUGCAUCAGUACAUUCAAGGAGCACUUUGAGAUGAUUAUCAAAAAAGCCAAACCUAGUUUGAAGGAAGGGAUGCAGAGCUGGCUAAACUACUUGUAG